Drosophila obscura is the source of this 504-nucleotide long non-coding RNA. RefSeq lists it as uncharacterized. Lineage: Eukaryota; Metazoa; Arthropoda; Insecta; Diptera; Drosophilidae. The transcript has 2 exons. The record is from RefSeq and is a predicted model, not a curated record.
ACAUAAAUCUGGAAAAAAAAUAUUCAUCAAGUCUUCUUUGCAAUGUGUUUGUCCUUGUGUCAGCUCCCUUCUCUACUAUUUUCUCCCAUAUUUUCUCAUUCACAUUCGGCAGCUCUUGGCGUAAACACCUAAAAUUGUUUUGACUAGUCUCAAAAACAUUUUUUGUUUAGUCUCAAAUUUUUUUUCUGGUUCAUGAAACGUAACGGCUUACAAAUGUGCGGACCGUGCUGUGGACCCUGUGGUGGCUGCUGCGGACCUUGCGGCGGCUGCUGUGGCCCAUGCGGCUCCUGUGGCCCAUGCUGUGGUCCCUGUGGCAGCUCCUGCUGUAGCCCCUGCUGUGGCCCAUGCUGUGGACCAUGUGGAUCGUGCUGCGGACCCUGCGGAUAUUGCUGAUGCCAUCGAAGGAUCUGACCGUGAAUCACGAACUUUAAUUUGAGACGGCAAUAAACAGGGCUUAAAGCGUUCAAAUUUUGAUGCUUAAUGACCAUCAAAGCCCAACCAAAA